CAAGGAAUUUUCGUCAAUGGGGGAAACCCUGAACGAGCAACGCCGCGUGGGCGAAGAAGUCCUUCGGGAUGUAAAGCCCUUUUCCCUGUGAAGAAAGAAAGACGGUAGCAGGGGAAUAAGCAUCGGCUAACUACGUGCCAGCAGCCGCGGUAAUACGUAGGAUGCAAGCGUUGUCCGGAAUUAUUGGGCGUAAAGAGCGCGCAGGCGGUUUUACAAGUCAGAUGUGAAAGAGGCCGGCUUAACCGGCAAGGGUCAUUUGAAACUGUAAGACUAGAGUACAGCAGAGGAUAGCGGAAUUCCCGGUGUAGUGGUGAAAUGCGUAGAUAUCGGGAGGAACACCAGUGGCGAAGGCGGCUAUCUGGGCUGAAACUGACGCUGAGGCGCGAAGGCUAGGGUAGCAAACA
Molecule: ribosomal RNA, 404 nt
Filed under: uncultured bacterium
Lineage: Bacteria
Description: bacterial SSU rRNA
Rfam family: Bacterial small subunit ribosomal RNA
Source: RNAcentral